AGCAAUGUUUUCUCGCAACAAAAUUAAGGAAUUAAAAACACUUCGAAUAUAGGAAGCAGCUCCAGUCUAAGAGGGAUAUUUGUUAUACGUGUGAGUGUUACAACAACAACAACCCAGUAUAAUCUCACUUAGCGGGAUCUGGAGAGGGUAGUAUGUACACAGAUCUUACCCCUACCCUUGGAUAGAGAGGCUGUUUCCAAAUAGACCCCCGACAUCUUUCCAUCCAAGAACUUCCCACCUUGCUCUUGAGGAGACUCGAACUCAUAACCUCUCGGUUGGAAGUG
Molecule: long non-coding RNA, 284 nt
Filed under: Nicotiana benthamiana
Lineage: Eukaryota; Viridiplantae; Streptophyta; Magnoliopsida; Solanales; Solanaceae
Description: long non-coding RNA (NBEN_LNC041289)
Source: RNAcentral